UUUCAUGUUGUGCUGAAGUUAUGGUU
This 26-nucleotide non-coding RNA is filed under the name Bombyx mori (domestic silkworm). Lineage: Eukaryota; Metazoa; Arthropoda; Insecta; Lepidoptera; Bombycidae. The record is from RNAcentral.